This 460-nucleotide ribosomal RNA is filed under the name uncultured bacterium. RNAcentral's name for it is "partial 16S ribosomal RNA". It matches the Rfam family "Bacterial small subunit ribosomal RNA", at positions 338 to 795 of the family's 1533-position model. The record is from RNAcentral.
CCUACGGGUGGCAGCAGUGAGGAAUAUUGGUCAAUGGGCGCGAGCCUGAACCAGCCAAGUAGCGUGAGGGAUGAAGGUUCUAUGGAUCGUAAACCUCUUUUAUAAGGGAAUAAAGUGUGGGACGUGUCCUGUUUUGUAUGUACCUUAUGAAUAAGGAUCGGCUAACUCCGUGCCAGCAGCCGCGGUAAUACGGAGGAUCCGAGCGUUAUCCGGAUUUAUUGGGUUUAAAGGGUGCGUAGGCGGCCUUUUAAGUCAGCGGUGAAAGUCUGUGGCUCAACCAUAGAAUUGCCGUUGAAACUGGGAGGCUUGAGUAUGUUUGAGGCAGGCGGAAUGCGUGGUGUAGCGGUGAAAUGCUUAGAUAUCACGCAGAACCCCGAUUGCGAAGGCAGCCUGCCAAGCCAUGACUGACGCUGAUGCACGAAAGCGUGGGGAUCAAACAGGAUUAGAUACCCCAGUAGUC